ACGGGGGGUGCAAGCGUUGUUCGGAAUUAUUGGGCGUAAAGAGCGUGUAGGCGGCUUGGUAAGUCAGAUGUGAAAGCCCUGGGCUUAACCCAGGAAGGGCAUUUGAAACUGCCUAGCUUGAGUAAGGGAGAGGGAAGUGGAAUUCCUGGUGUAGAGGUGAAAUUCGUAGAUAUCGGGAGGAACACCAGUGGCGAAGGCGACUUUCUGGACUGUUUCUGACGCUGAGACGCGAGAGCUUGGGUAGCAAACAG
This 251-nucleotide ribosomal RNA is filed under the name uncultured prokaryote. Its description in RNAcentral is "partial 16S rRNA". It matches the Rfam family "Bacterial small subunit ribosomal RNA", at positions 525 to 775 of the family's 1533-position model. The record is from RNAcentral.